AGCAGUCGCCGCGGUAAUACGAAGGGGGCUAGCGUUGCUCGGAAUUACUGGGCGUAAAGGGAGCGUAGGCGGACAUUUAAGUCAGGGGUGAAAUCCCAGAGCUCAACUCUGGAACUGCCCUUGAUACUGGGUGUCUUGAGUGUGAUAGAGGUAUGUGGAACUCCGAGUGUAGAGGUGAAAUUCGUAGAUAUUCGGAAGAACACCAGUGGCGAAGGCGACAUACUGGAUCAUUACUGACGCUGAGGCUCGAAAGCGUGGGGAGCAAACAGGAUUAGAUACCCCGGUAGUCCCUGUCUCUUAUAC
RNAcentral lists this ribosomal RNA (303 nucleotides) under uncultured bacterium. Its description in RNAcentral is "partial 16S ribosomal RNA". It matches the Rfam family "Bacterial small subunit ribosomal RNA", at positions 507 to 807 of the family's 1533-position model. The record is from RNAcentral.